CGGUUGAUCCUGCCGGACCUGACUGCUAUCGGAUUGGUACUAAGCCAUGUGAGUCAUUGUAGCAAUACAAGGCAUACGGCUCAGUAACACGUAGUCAAUCUAACCUAUGGACGUGGAUAACCUCGGGAAACUGAGAAUAAUCCGCGAUAGAUCAUUAAUCCUGGAACGGUUUAUGGUCCAAAUGAUUCGUCGCCGUAGGAUGGGACUGCGGCCUAUCAGCUUGUUGGUGAGGUAAUGGCCCACCAAGGCUAUUACAGGUACGGGCUCUGAGAGGAGAAGCCCGGAGAUGGGUACUGAGACACGGACCCAGGCCCUAUGGGGCGCAGCAGGCGAGAAACCUUUGCAAUGUGCGCAAGCACGACAAGGUUAAUCCGAGUGUUUCCUGCUAAAGGAAUCUUUUGUUAGUUCUAAAACCACUAUCGAAUAAGGGGUGGGCAAGUUCUGGUGUCAGCCGCCGCGGUAAAACCAGCACCUCAAGUGGUCAGGAGGAUUAUUGGGCCUAAAGCAUCCGUAGCCGGUUCUGUAAGUUUCCGGUUAAAUCCACUAGCUCAACUAGUGGGCUGCCGGAAAUACUGUAGAACUAGGGAGUGGGAGAGGUAGACGGUACUCGGUAGGAAGGGGUAAAAUCCUUUGAUCUAUUGAUGACCACCUGUGGCGAAGGCGGUCUACCAGAACACGUUCGACGGUGAGGGAUGAAAGCUGGGGGAGCAAACCGGAUUAGAUACCCGGGUAGUCCCAGCUGUAAACGAUGCAGACUCGGUGAUGCACUGGCUUG
RNAcentral lists this ribosomal RNA (775 nucleotides) under uncultured archaeon. RNAcentral's name for it is "bacterial SSU rRNA". It matches the Rfam family "Archaeal small subunit ribosomal RNA", at positions 5 to 786 of the family's 1478-position model. The record is from RNAcentral.